GAUGAACGCUAGCUACAGGCUUAACACAUGCAAGUCGAGGGGUAACGAGAGGAAAGCUUGCUUUCCUUGUCGACGACCGGCGCACGGGUGAGUAACGCGUAUCCAACCUGCCCCCAACUAAGGAAUAACCUUGCGAAAGUAAGACUAAUACCUUAUAAUUUCCUCAGAUGUCAUCUGACGAGGAAUCAAAAUUUAUCGGUUGUGGAUGGGGAUGCGUCUGAUUAGCUUGUUGGCGGGGUAACGGCCCACCAAGGCAACGAUCAGUAGGGGUUAUGAGAGGAAGGUCACCGACAUUGGAACUGAGACACGGUCCAAACGCCUACGGGAGGCAGCAGUGAGGAAUAUUGGUCAAUGGGCGGAAGCCUGAACCAGCCAAGUAGCGUGCAGGAUGACGGCCCUAUGGGUUGUAAACUGCUUUUAUACAGGAAUAAAGUUAGCCACGUGUGGUUAUUUGUAGGUACUGUAUGAAUAAGGACCGGCUAAUUCCGUGCCAGCCGCCGCGGUAA
RNAcentral lists this ribosomal RNA (506 nucleotides) under uncultured bacterium. Its description in RNAcentral is "partial 16S ribosomal RNA". It matches the Rfam family "Bacterial small subunit ribosomal RNA", at positions 28 to 523 of the family's 1533-position model. The record is from RNAcentral.